This is a long non-coding RNA of Vidua macroura (Pin-tailed whydah), 1410 nucleotides long. RefSeq lists it as uncharacterized. Lineage: Eukaryota; Metazoa; Chordata; Aves; Passeriformes; Viduidae. The transcript has 3 exons. The record is from RefSeq and is a predicted model, not a curated record.
AGCAUCCUGUUCUUGCAGCUACAGAGGAGAUUGAUUUCCCAUGGUUAGCUGGAGGAGCUGGGACAUGUCCUACCAUCCUGCUCUCCAAAACAGAGAUUGGAAGAGUGCCAGCACCUUGUCAAAUGGUGUUCAUCCGUUUGUCCCUUGGACAGGCCAUCAUUGGAAGAUGUUUUCAGCCAUUCUUGGCUGCAGGACAUACAUCUUCUCCAAGAGAUGACAAAGAUCCAUCCCUCUGCACAGUAGGAUCUGGCAAAUUCUAGCUGGGGCCUGGACUGCAUUGGGAAGUGUUGUGACUGUCUGCAGAAUGGAUUCACUGCCAGUGCCACCCUGGCAGGUACACCUCCUUCCAGACGGAUGAGGACAUCAUCUGGGAUCAGCUCCUCUUCCAGCAGCAGGUCUCUUAAGGUGGGUACCUGGCCUCACAGCAUGGGUAGCAUAGUGGGUAGUAGAAGACAGCAAUGGGCACACAUGCUUCCCCUCACCCUUGCAGGUGUGAGGAUUUUGAUCUCCUCGUUAACUGGAGGAGGUGGCACUAGUCCUGCCAUCCUGUUCUCUUUCAGAAUGGAGAACUGAUUGGUAGAUUUGGGUACAGUUCUGAGCACGGCCACUAACAUGGCUGGGCACUACAAAAGGGGAAGGCUGGACAGGAGCCUUCUCCAGCUGACCAUUUUCUGAUUUCUCUCCCCAAAGUGCCAGCACCUCAUCACAGCAAAACAGCAUCACUGAGCCUAUCAGCUUGGUGGUAGUGAUGUUUAUUUGCUGUCAAAAAUAAUUUUUUUUUUGUAAUCAGAGUAUUUCUUUUAUCCUUUUCCAAGCUUUUAAUGUCCUUCCUCUAGGAUAAUUUUUUGCAUCCUUUACACACAAAAAAAUUGUGCCUUUAUUGGAAUUGGAUGGGGGUUAAGCAACCAAAAAUGAUUUUUAAUUUUUUUUUUUUAGCAUCAAAAAGAGAAACAACAGCUCCUGUUGUUUCAAAUUGGAGUGGCUACUUCAGUGCCCCUGAACUGCCACUCAAGCACAUACCUUUUUGAUGCUGCUGUCUGUCCUCCAAAACAACACACUCACCAAAUCUUUCACCCAGCCCUAAGAGCCCUCCACAGACCAAACAAAACCCCAUAAACUUGAGAGAAGGACAAACCAUGCUGGGUGUUAAAAAAACAUGCCCUCAAUAAAACAAAAGAUUGUAUUAUGCAAUGUUAGUUUACCUUUGUGGAUAUUCUCAGUUCAGUCAGAGAGAAGAGAGAAUUCUUCCAGGCCUAGCCUGGGAAAGUUAGGAGAAGGAAUGAAAACAAUUAUUAUCUCUCUUUCUGUUCAUAUUUUUUAUAGAUAUGUUCUACCACAGUGUGCUAUUCAUAGUGCACCAAUAGUGUGAAAAGUUUUCCCUUUGAGACCAAUCAUAUUUCACCUUAGUGA